Molecule: ribosomal RNA, 294 nt
Filed under: uncultured bacterium
Lineage: Bacteria
Description: partial 16S ribosomal RNA
Rfam family: Bacterial small subunit ribosomal RNA
Source: RNAcentral
UGCCUACGGGGGGCAGCAGUGGGGAAUAUUGCACAAUGGGGGAAACCCUGAUGCAGCGACGCCGCGUGGGCGAGGAAGUACCUCGGUAUGUAAAGCCCUAUCAGCAGGGAAGAAACAGGACAGUACCUGACUAAGAAGCCCCGGCUAACUACGUGCCAGCAGCCGCGGUAAUACGUAGGGGGCAAGCGUUAUCCGGAUUUACUGGGUGUAAAGGGAGCGUAGACGGCAGUGCAAGUCUGGAGUGAAAGGCGGGGGCUCAACCCCCGGACUGCUCUGGAAACUAUACGGCUGGAG